AUGGCGACCUUGCUGUCGAUCCACGAGAAGGCCACCGCCGUCGUCGACCUUUACGUGCCCAUCCGUCACUCCGCCCACGCGGAGCGCGACGCGGCCACCGCCGACGACGACCUCCGCGCCGUGCGCGACCUCCGCGCCGCAGCGGUCGAGAGCCCCUCCCUCCAGGGCCCGCUCUCCCUCGACCAGCGCCGCGACGCGCUCCUGGCGUACGCCCGCGCGCUCGCCGUCGUGGCAUCUCGCUUCCUCAUCUCCCCCGACCGCGAGCACGUCCGGACCUUCUCCUUCACCUGGCACGACGCCUUCAACAUGAACCAGAAGGUGUGCCUGCCCUCUGUUCAUCUCGAGAGGGCCGCCGUGCUCUUCAACCUCGGCGCCGUCUACUCGCAGAUCGCGCUCGCUGCAGAUCUCAACACCGACAUCGGGAUCAAGAGCGCGUGCGGCGCGUUCGAGAGCGCCGCGGGAGCGUUCGCGGAGAGUGGGCUCGCUGCUAAGGCCGUCGCCGCCGGGGCCAUCACCGUCGAUGUGACGCCCGAGUGCACGGGCAUGUUGGAGAAGCUCAUGCUGGGGCAGGCGCAAGAGUGCUUGCUGGAGAAGUUCAUAGCUGGGGGGAAACCGCCCGAGCUAUGCUCCAAGGUGGCCCGCCAGUUGGGCAUAUUCUAUGAAGAAGCUUACCGAGCUCUAUGUGCACCUCCUCUUAGUCAGCACUUUGACAAGACAUGGAUUUCUCAUAUCCAGAUGAAGGCUGCUCAAUUCCAUGCAGAUGCAUGCUAUAGGUGUUCACUGGAUCUGCAUCAGGCAGAGGAAAUUUCUGAAGAAAUUGUGCGCCUACAGAUUGGAAUGAACGCCUUGGCUGAUGCCAAGAAAACAGCUAAGGGAGUUGCUGCCCCACUUUUGCAUUCUGUGUAUAAGCUGGAGAGUAACAUGAAAACCAACUUGGAGAGGGCCAUGAAGGAGAACAAUAGUAUGUAUCUGUUGCAGAUUCCAGAUGUGGGUUCUUUGGGAGCUCUCCCUGCAGCUUGUCUUGUCAAAUCCACUUCUCUGGCUGUAGCUCUAGGUGCUAGCGAACAGAGGCCGUUUUCACCACUUGUGCCUGAAGGCAGCAUGUGCGAUGCAGAGAAGCUCCAGCAGUCUAGUGAGAUCUCUGGAGUUAGGCUAAAGGAAAUGGAUCCAUCUGGUGUUCUUCCAUCACUGGAAGGCAAUGUCAGCUUAUCUGUAGAUCUGAAAGCAGGUGGUGAGGAGAACUAG
RNAcentral lists this ribosomal RNA (1245 nucleotides) under Triticum aestivum (bread wheat). RNAcentral describes it as "partial small subunit ribosomal RNA". Lineage: Eukaryota; Viridiplantae; Streptophyta; Magnoliopsida; Poales; Poaceae. The record is from RNAcentral.